GAAAAAAAAACUCACUUUUUAUGGGAUUUGGGCUGUUACUUGGUGUCUCUGGUGCUUCCCCACGCAUACAAACUUUGGAAA
Long non-coding RNA from Etheostoma cragini (Arkansas darter), 81 nucleotides. RefSeq lists it as uncharacterized. The transcript is spliced from 3 exons. The record is from RefSeq and is a predicted model, not a curated record. NCBI's taxonomy places the organism in Eukaryota, Metazoa, Chordata, Actinopteri, Perciformes, Percidae.